AAUAGGUUCACUCCCUUGGUGUUGCUGCUGCUGCGCCAAUCAAGCAGUUGAGCGACUAGGGGACUGGGCCCCUGCAGUUUUGAUUCCCUGCUUUAACUGCUACCCUGACCAGGCAAGUCAGUAAAUGCUAACUAAGACUUCUUUCACCCUCUGAACAAAUGCAUCACAUAAGUCUUCCCCCUUGCAACAAUGGACUUCAAAUGUAGCAAGAUUGAAUGAUCUACGAGCACAAAGUACCACAGCAAAAUCUAUUAGUAUAUUGUUUUUACAGAACCACUGUGUGGCAGAACAGGGUAAUUUGGUCCCCUCUAAUCAAGAAGUGUAUACAGUACACGAUCCAGCAUUUACAACACCUCCAGGCCAAGUUUUCCUCACAAGUGACAACUUUCAAUUAGUUUUAGAUGUCCACAGCUUCCACCCAAAUGAAAUAAAUGUUUGUGUUAAGGACAACUAUAUUGAAGUUACUGCACAGCACCAAGAAGAACUGAGCCAACAGUCCCAGUUAGCUGUUCAAAAGAGAUAUAAAAUGCCAUACCCAGUGAACACAGACAUGGUGCAGUGCAGUCUUUCCAAGGAUGGAAUACUUUUCGUGAUGGCACCAUGGCUGAGGACUCCAUAAGACAGUGAAGGAUGUGCAAAUAAAACACAAAUUUCCAAGUUAUAUUUAUUCAACAAUUACUUCUUAGCGGGGGCUUUCUUGGCUGGUGCCUUCUUUUCUGAAACAGGCUUUUGAAGGGUGGGCU
Long non-coding RNA from Frankliniella occidentalis (western flower thrips), 743 nucleotides. RefSeq lists it as uncharacterized. The transcript is spliced from 3 exons. Lineage: Eukaryota; Metazoa; Arthropoda; Insecta; Thysanoptera; Thripidae. The record is from RefSeq and is a predicted model, not a curated record.